Molecule: ribosomal RNA, 473 nt
Filed under: uncultured bacterium
Lineage: Bacteria
Description: bacterial SSU rRNA
Rfam family: Bacterial small subunit ribosomal RNA
Source: RNAcentral
ACUCCUACGGGAGGCAGCAGUGGGGAAUAUUGCACAAUGGGCGCAAGCCUGAUGCAGCCAUGCCGCGUGUAUGAAGAAGGCCUUCGGGUUGUAAAGUACUUUCAGCAGUGAGGAAGGCGGAGUCGUUAAUAGCGGCCUCGUUUGACGUUAGCUGCAGAAGAAGCACCGGCUAACUCCGUGCCAGCAGCCGCGGUAAUACGGAGGGUGCGAGCGUUAAUCGGAAUUACUGGGCGUAAAGCGCAUGCAGGUGGUUUGUUAAGUCAGAUGUGAAAGCCCGGGGCUCAACCUCGGAAUUGCAUUUGAAACUGGCAGACUAGAGUACUGUAGAGGGGGGUAGAAUUUCAGGUGUAGCGGUGAAAUGCGUAGAGAUCUGAAGGAAUACCGGUGGCGAAGGCGGCCCCCUGGACAGAUACUGACACUCAGAUGCGAAAGCGUGGGGAGCAAACAGGAUUAGAUACCCUGGUAGCGUCGAC